RNAcentral lists this ribosomal RNA (217 nucleotides) under uncultured fungus. Its description in RNAcentral is "partial small subunit ribosomal RNA". The stretch from base 39 to 217 matches the Rfam family "Eukaryotic small subunit ribosomal RNA", at positions 684 to 864 of the family's 1831-position model. Lineage: Eukaryota; Fungi. The record is from RNAcentral.
GGAUCAGUACGCUGGUCAUGCUUUCGGGUAUGUACUGGUGUCACUGAUUCCUCCCUUCUGACGAACUAUCAUGCCAUUUACUUGGUGUGGUGGGGAAUUAGGACUGUUAUUUUGAAAAAAUUAGAGUGUUUAAAGCAGGCUAACGCUUGAAUACAUUAGCAUGGAAUAAUGAAAUAGGACGUUUGAUCCUAUUUUGUUGGUUUCUAGGAUUGACGUA